GAUGAACGCUGGCGGCGUGCCUAAUACAUGCAAGUCGAACGAGUUCUUGUUGAUGAUCGGUGCUUGCACCAAGAUUCAACAUGGAACGAGUGGCGGACGGGUGAGUAACACGUGGGUAACCUGCCCUUAAGUGGGGGAUAACAUUUGGAAACAGAUGCUAAUACCGCAUAGAUCCAAGAACCGCAUGGUUCUUGGCUGAAAGAUGGCGUAAGCUAUCGCUUUUGGAUGGACCCGCGGCGUAUUAGCUAGUUGGUGAGGUAAUGGCUCACCAAGGCGAUGAUACGUAGCCGAACUGAGAGGUUGAUCGGCCACAUUGGGACUGAGACACGGCCCAAACUCCUACGGGAGGCAGCAGUAGGGAAUCUUCCACAAUGGACGCAAGUCUGAUGGAGCAACGCCGCGUGAGUGAAGAAGGCUUUCGGGUCGUAAAACUCUGUUGUUGGAGAAGAAUGGUCGGCAGAGUAACUGUUGUCGGCGUGACGGUAUCCAACCAGAAAGCCACGGCUAACUACGUGCCAGCAGCCGCGGUAAUACGUAGGUGGCAAGCGUUAUCCGGAUUUAUUGGGCGUAAAGCGAGCGCAGGCGGUUUUUUAAGUCUGAUGUGAAAGCCCUCGGCUUAACCGAGGAAGCGCAUCGGAAACUGGGAAACUUGAGUGCAGAAGAGGACAGUGGAACUCCAUGUGUAGCGGUGAAAUGCGUAGAUAUAUGGAAGAACACCAGUGGCGAAGGCGGCUGUCUGGUCUGUAACUGACGCUGAGGCUCGAAAGCAUGGGUAGCGAACAGGAUUAGAUACCCUGGUAGUCCAUGCCGUAAACGAUGAAUGCUAGGUGUUGGAGGGUUUCCGCCCUUCAGUGCCGCAGCUAACGCAUUAAGCAUUCCGCCUGGGGAGUACGACCGCAAGGUUGAAACUCAAAGGAAUUGACGGGGGCCCGCACAAGCGGUGGAGCAUGUGGUUUAAUUCGAAGCAACGCGAAGAACCUUACCAGGUCUUGACAUCUUUUGAUCACCUGAGAGAUCAGGUUUCCCCUUCGGGGGCAAAAUGACAGGUGGUGCAUGGUUGUCGUCAGCUCGUGUCGUGAGAUGUUGGGUUAAGUCCCGCAACGAGCGCAACCCUUAUGACUAGUUGCCAGCAUUUAGUUGGGCACUCUAGUAAGACUGCCGGUGACAAACCGGAGGAAGGUGGGGAUGACGUCAAAUCAUCAUGCCCCUUAUGACCUGGGCUACACACGUGCUACAAUGGAUGGUACAACGAGUUGCGAGACCGCGAGGUCAAGCUAAUCUCUUAAAGCCAUUCUCAGUUCGGACUGUAGGCUGCAACUCGCCUACACGAAGUCGGAAUCGCUAGUAAUCGCGGAUCAGCACGCCGCGGUGAAUACGUUCCCGGGCCUUGUACACACCGCCCGUCACACCAUGAGAGUUUGUAACACCCGAAGCCGGUGGCGUAACCCUUUUAGGGAGCGAGCCGUCUAAGGUGGGA
This 1477-nucleotide ribosomal RNA is filed under the name uncultured organism. RNAcentral's name for it is "SSU rRNA". It matches the Rfam family "Bacterial small subunit ribosomal RNA". The record is from RNAcentral.